AGUUUGAUCCUGGCUCAGGACGAACGCUGCGAGCGUGCCUAAUACAUGCAAGUCGAGCGCAGGAAGCUGACGGAACUCUUCGGAGGGAAGGCAGUGGAAUGCGCGGCGGACGGGUGAGUAACACGUAAGGAACCUGCCUCAAGGAUUGGGAUAACUCCGAGAAAUCGGAGCUAAUACCGGAUAGUUCAACGGACCGCAUGGUCCGCUGAUGAAAGGCGCUUCGGCGUCACCUUGAGAUGGCCUUGCGGUGCAUUAGCUAGUUGGUGGGGUAACGGCCCACCAAGGCGACGAUGCAUAGCCGACCUGAGAGGGUGAUCGGCCACACUGGGACUGAGACACGGCCCAGACUCCUACGGGAGGCAGCAGUAGGGAAUCUUCCACAAUGGACGAAAGUCUGAUGGAGCAACGCCGCGUGAGUGAUGAAGGUUUUCGGAUCGUAAAACUCUGUUGUAAGGGAAGAACACGUACGAGAGGAAAUGCUCGUACCUUGACGGUACCUUACGAGAAAGCCACGGCUAACUACGUGCCAGCAGCCGCGGUAAUACGUAGGUGGCAAGCGUUGUCCGGAAUUAUUGGGCGUAAAGCGCGCGCAGGCGGCCUAUUAAGUCUGAUGUGAAAGCCCCCGGCUCAACCGGGGAGGGCCAUUGGAAACUGGAAGGCUUGAGUACAGAAGAGAAGAGUGGAAUUCCACGUGUAGCGGUGAAAUGCGUAGAGAUGUGGAGGAACACCAGUGGCGAAGGCGACUCUUUGGUCUGUAACUGACGCUGAGGCGCGAAAGCGUGGGGAGCAAACAGGAUUAGAUACCCUGGUAGUCCACGCCGUAAACGAUGAGUGCUAGGUGUUGGGGGGUUUCCGCCCCUCAGUGCUGAAGCUAACGCAUUAAGCACUCCGCCUGGGGAGUACGGCCGCAAGGCUGAAACUCAAAGGAAUUGACGGGGACCAGCACAAGCG
This 951-nucleotide ribosomal RNA is filed under the name Exiguobacterium sp. Pu11. Its description in RNAcentral is "bacterial SSU rRNA". It matches the Rfam family "Bacterial small subunit ribosomal RNA", at positions 10 to 931 of the family's 1533-position model. The record is from RNAcentral. Lineage: Bacteria; Bacillati; Bacillota; Bacilli; Caryophanales.